GAUGAAGAACGUAGCGAAAUGCGAUAAGUAAUGUGAAUUGCAGAAUUCAGUGAAUCAUCGAAUCUUUGAACGCACAUUGCGCCCGCCAGUAUUCUGGCGGGCAUGCCUGUUCGAGCGUCAUUUCAACCAUUAAGCCCUGCUUGCGUUGGGGUCCUGCGGCUGCCCGCAGGCCCUGAAAACCAGUGGCGGGCUCGCUAGUCACACCGAGCGCAGUAAUACAUCUCGCUUUGGGCGUGCGGCGGGUUCUUGCCGUUAAACACCCCCUUUUUACCAAGGUUGACCUCGGAUCAGGUAGGAAUACCCGCUGAACUUAAGCAUAUCAAUAAGCGGAGGA
RNAcentral lists this unclassified non-coding RNA (334 nucleotides) under soil metagenome. RNAcentral's name for it is "partial contains 5.8S ribosomal RNA, internal transcribed spacer 2, and large subunit ribosomal RNA". The stretch from base 1 to 120 matches the Rfam family "5.8S ribosomal RNA", at positions 35 to 154 of the family's 154-position model. The record is from RNAcentral.